UUGGUUGGAGGUUUAGCCUGAAUCCUGGACCGUUUAACAUUAAAGAGCAUGUGAUCAUCACCAUCUUUGCUAACUGUGGGGUGUCUUUUGGUGGGGGUGAUGCCUACUCCAUUGGUGCCAUAACUGUUAUGAAAGCUUAUUAUAAGCAAAGCUUGAAUUUUCUUUGUGGGCUACUUAUAGUCUUGACUACUCAGGUUAUUUUUAAAAAAAUUAACUCUAAUUAUUUGCAACUUUGAUUUAUUAUUGUUAUUUUUUUUUUCGGUGGGAAAAAUAAUGUGACUUUUGGUGGUGUAUAAAUAUAUAUACACAGAUAUUGGGAUAUGGAUGGGCUGGGAUGCUGAGGAGGUACCUGGUUGAUCCUGUGGAGAUGUGGUGGCCUUCAAAUCUUGCUCAGGUUUCUCUAUUCAGGUCUGUGUGCCUUUCACAUUUUCUUUCUGUUUGGGUAAUUUUCUAAAUUAUUAUUUCUGUUUGGUUCACGGGAAAAUGUUAGAAAGGAAAGCAAGAAAGAGAUUGAACUUUUGGAACAUUAGAUUUUCC
RNAcentral lists this long non-coding RNA (537 nucleotides) under Citrus maxima (pomelo). RNAcentral's name for it is "long non-coding RNA (CMAX_LNC001145)". The record is from RNAcentral. Lineage: Eukaryota; Viridiplantae; Streptophyta; Magnoliopsida; Sapindales; Rutaceae.